UACGGAGGGGGCUAGCGUUGUUCGGAAUUACUGGGCGUAAAGCGCGCGUAGGCGGCUAUGUAAGUCAGAGGUGAAAGCCCGGGGCUCAACUCCGGAACUGCCUUUGAGACUGUGUGGCUUGAAUCCGGGAGAGGUGAGUGGAAUUCCGAGUGUAGAGGUGAAAUUCGUAGAUAUUCGGAAGAACACCAGUGGCGAAGGCGGCUCACUGGACCGGUAUUGACGCUGAGGUGCGAAAGCGUGGGGAGCAAACAGG
This 253-nucleotide ribosomal RNA is filed under the name uncultured bacterium. RNAcentral describes it as "partial 16S ribosomal RNA". It matches the Rfam family "Bacterial small subunit ribosomal RNA", at positions 524 to 776 of the family's 1533-position model. The record is from RNAcentral.